AUUUUCAGCGUCUCUCUCUCCUUCUCCCUCUCUCUCUCUCUCUCUCUCUCUAUUCUCCUCUUCUCUUUACCUAUGGUGGAUCUCUCUUAUCACCCAUAAUCUUUUUUAAGGUGUUGUAGUACAGAGAAAGAGAUGGGUGUUGUGUUCACCACCCAUAAUCUUCUUCAACAUCAGUCUACUACCAUAGCAACUCCGCGACUAUCCACCACCAUUGAAAAGGAAGAUUAGCAAGCAGUAAAAACCCAAUGCAGCAUUGACACCCAUCCUCGCUCUUCACUAUCGACGCUGAAUUCCCCAAAUCAGAGUUCCAAUUCAGUAAUUAACAAGAAGGAUUGGAACUUGUGGAUUGAUGCUGGAAAGAAUGUGGUGAGGAGAGAGAACAUAGAGGCCGCUGUGAGUAGGGUGAUGGACAUCGGUGAUGAUGACAGAGAAGUCUAAAGUGCUGGACGAGAUGGCACUGAAAGCUGUUAAAGAAGGUGGAUCAUCUCAUAGAAAUUUGACGGUGUUGAUUGAAGAGCUUAAGCAACUAAGAGAUCAAAGGGCUAAGGAUGAUUGAGGGGUUAUUACAUUGUCUGUGUCUAUGUUCUUUACUGCUUAUUUCAUUUUGUUGAAAUAAGGCAUUCGAAUGGCUUUUAAUAGUUAAAUUUUGUAUAUGGUUGGAAAUUAAAUGCUACAGGUUGUGGAGAAACAUUUUUAUUGAAUAGUUAAGAAUUGAAUGAAUGAACAAAUGGAUGAAUAAUUUUGUAUA
This is a long non-coding RNA of Camellia sinensis, 748 nucleotides long. RefSeq lists it as uncharacterized. The record is from RefSeq and is a predicted model, not a curated record. Lineage: Eukaryota; Viridiplantae; Streptophyta; Magnoliopsida; Ericales; Theaceae.